RNAcentral lists this ribosomal RNA (245 nucleotides) under Leptosira erumpens. RNAcentral's name for it is "partial small subunit ribosomal RNA". It matches the Rfam family "Eukaryotic small subunit ribosomal RNA", at positions 156 to 401 of the family's 1831-position model. The record is from RNAcentral. Lineage: Eukaryota; Viridiplantae; Chlorophyta; Trebouxiophyceae; Leptosiraceae.
UUCUAGAGCUAAUACGUGCGCAAAUCCCGACUUCUGGAAGGGACGUAUUUAUUAAAUAAAAGGCCGACCGGGCUCUGCCCGACUCGCGGUGAAUCAUAAUAACUUCACAAAUCGCACGGCCUUGUGCUGGCGAUGUUUCAUUCAAAUUUCUGCCCUAUCAACUUUCGAUGGUAGGAUAGGGGCCUACCAUGGGGGGUAACGGGUGACGGAGGAUUAGGGUUCAAUUCCGGAAAGGGACCCUAAAA